RNAcentral lists this ribosomal RNA (301 nucleotides) under uncultured bacterium. RNAcentral's name for it is "partial 16S ribosomal RNA". It matches the Rfam family "Bacterial small subunit ribosomal RNA", at positions 509 to 807 of the family's 1533-position model. The record is from RNAcentral.
CAGUCGCCACGGUAAUACGAAGGGUGCAAGCGUUACUCGGAAUUACUGGGCGUAAAGCGCACGUAGGCGGAUAUUUAAGUCAGGGGUGAAAUCCCGCAGCUCAACUGCGGAACUGCCUUUGAUACUGGGUAUCUUGAGUAUGGAAGAGGUUAGUGGAAUUGCGAGUGUAGAGGUGAAAUUCGUAGAUAUUCGCAGGAACACCAGUGGCGAAGGCGGCUAACUGGUCCAUAACUGACGCAGAGGUGCGAAAGCGUGGGGAGCAAACAGGAUUAGAUACCCCCGUAGUCCCUGUCUCUUAUAC